ACCAACGACUGCGCCACGUUGAAUACACCAGUUCUCGUCCGAUCACUGAAGUCAAGCGAUGAGCGACGUCGGGCGUGGUCAGUACUCGGAUGGGUGACCGUCUGGGAAAACUCGUGUUGUUGAUU
This 125-nucleotide ribosomal RNA is filed under the name Olea europaea subsp. europaea. Lineage: Eukaryota; Viridiplantae; Streptophyta; Magnoliopsida; Lamiales; Oleaceae. The record is from RNAcentral.